Molecule: ribosomal RNA, 253 nt
Filed under: uncultured bacterium
Lineage: Bacteria
Description: partial 16S ribosomal RNA
Rfam family: Bacterial small subunit ribosomal RNA
Source: RNAcentral
UACGUAGGGUGCGAGCGUUAAUCGGAAUUACUGGGCGUAAAGCGUGCGCAGGCGGUUCGUUAAGUUCGUUGUGAAAGCCCCGGGCUCAACCUGGGAACUGCAAUGGAAACUGGCGGGCUUGAAUGCGGCAGAGGGGGGUGGAAUUCCGCGUGUAGCAGUGAAAUGCGUAGAGAUGCGGAGGAACACCGAUGGCGAAGGCAGCCCCCUGGGCUAACACUGACGCUCAUGCACGAAAGCGUGGGGAGCAAACAGG